AUGGAAAGUUGCAAUCCAAUUUCGACACCAAUGAAACCAGGAGCCAAGCUUUCAAAAUUUGAUGGGGGAGAGCGUGUCGAAGAAAACAAAUUUCGAAGCUUGGUGGGAAGUCUUCGAUACCUCACAUGCACAAGGACAAAUCUUUCGCUGAGUGUUAGAAUUGGGAGUCGUUUCAUGGAAGAACCAGUUUUUGCACACUGGAAAGCUCUAAAGAGAAUCCUUCGAUAUGUCCCAGGAACUAUGUCACUUGGAAUGUUUUAUUCAAAAGCAGAAGAAUACAAGUUGACUGGCUACUCUGACAACGAUUGGUGUGGUGACAUAGAUGAUCGAAAGAGCACAUUCAGGAUAUGUGUUCUUCAUGGGAAGCACUACAUUCACCUGGCUGUCAAGGAAGCAACCCAUAAUAAC
Non-coding RNA from Vicia faba (fava bean), 408 nucleotides. The record is from the annotation of a GenBank genome assembly. Lineage: Eukaryota; Viridiplantae; Streptophyta; Magnoliopsida; Fabales; Fabaceae.